RNAcentral lists this ribosomal RNA (253 nucleotides) under uncultured bacterium. RNAcentral describes it as "partial 16S ribosomal RNA". It matches the Rfam family "Bacterial small subunit ribosomal RNA", at positions 524 to 776 of the family's 1533-position model. The record is from RNAcentral.
UACGUAGGAUGCAAGCGUUGUCCGGAAUUAUUGGGCGUAAAGCGAACGUAGGCGGUUACUUAAGUCAGAUGUGAAAGCCCCGGGCUCAACCUGGGAAUGGCAUUUGAAACUGGCGGGCUGGAGUGUGGCAGAGGGGGGUGGAAUUCCACGUGUAGCAGUGAAAUGCGUAGAGAUGCGGAGGAACACCGAUGGCGAAGGCAGCCCCCUGGGCCAACACUGACGCUCAGGCACGAAAGCGUGGGGAGCAAACAGG